This 356-nucleotide non-coding RNA is filed under the name Stegodyphus mimosarum. Its description in RNAcentral is "eukaryotic small subunit ribosomal RNA". It matches the Rfam family "Eukaryotic small subunit ribosomal RNA", at positions 629 to 944 of the family's 1831-position model. The record is from Rfam by way of RNAcentral. Lineage: Eukaryota; Metazoa; Arthropoda; Arachnida; Araneae; Eresidae.
CGUAGCUGGAUCUCGGUGCCAGAUAGAUGGUCCGUCUACCGUUAGUUACUGCCUAUUCUGGGCAGUCAGCUGGCUUUCUCUGAUGAUCUCCGGUUGUCUUCGGUGAUUGGCAAGUUUACUUUGAAAAAAUUAGAGUGCUCAAAGCAGGCGUGAGGCCUGAAUAAUGGUGCGUGGAAUAAUGGAAUAAGACCUAGGUUCUACUCUGCAGGUUUUUGGAUUACGAGGUAAUGAUUAAGAGGGACAGUCGGGGGGACAUUUGUAAUGUGACGCCAGAGAUGAGAAAGCUAACCCUAAUUCAACUCGAAAUUUGUGCAAAACAUGCAAAGCUUUUACUUAACGAUAUCUUCCUGACAAAG